RNAcentral lists this ribosomal RNA (497 nucleotides) under uncultured bacterium. Its description in RNAcentral is "partial 16S ribosomal RNA". It matches the Rfam family "Bacterial small subunit ribosomal RNA", at positions 28 to 507 of the family's 1533-position model. The record is from RNAcentral.
GAUGAACGCUGGCGGCGUGCCUAAUACAUGCAAGUCGAGCGAACGGACGAGAAGCUUGCUUCUCUGAUGUUAGCGGCGGACGGGUGAGUAACACGUGGAUAACCUACCUGUAAGACUGGGAUAACUUCGGGAAACCGGAGCUAAUACCGGAUAAUAUUUUGAACCGCAUGGUUCAAAAGUGAAAGACGGUCUUGCUGUCACUUAUAGAUGGAUCCGCGCUGCAUUAGCUAGUUGGUAAGGUAACGGCUUACCAAGGCAACGAUGCAUAGCCGACCUGAGAGGGUGAUCGGCCACGUUGGAACUGAGACACGGUCCCGUCUCCUACGGGAGGCAGCAGUAGGGAAUAUUCCGCAAUGGGCGGAAGCCUGACGGAGCAACGCCGCGUGAGUGAUGAAGGUCUUCGGAUCGUAAAACUCUGUUAUUAGGGAAGAACAUAUGUGUAAGUAACUGUGCACAUCUUGACGGUACCUAAUCAGAAAGCCACGGCUAACUACGUG